UUGAAAGGGAAACGAUUGAAGUCAGUCGUACCGACGGAAAAUCAGCUCUUCGAGUGCGGACUUGUGGGCGUACGUGAGCUUCAACCGGUCUCGUUGUUUGCUUGUUUGUGCUUUUUGGGUGUACUUUUUCGUAUGGUAGGCCAACGUCAGUUUUGAUCACCAUAAAAUGAUCGGAGGAAUGUAGCUUCGAUCUUGUAUUGAAGUGUUAUAGCCUUUGGUAGAUGUGGUGACUGAGACUGAGGAUUGCAACGAAUACCCUUUGGGCUAUCCGUCUGACCUCUGAAAGUUGCUUAGGUGCCGAAAGCUUGCUUACGGUCAUCUAUGACGACGGUCAAAAGGUUAGAACGUGAUUAUAUUCGUUAAGGAUGUUGACGUA
RNAcentral lists this ribosomal RNA (376 nucleotides) under uncultured Glomeraceae. RNAcentral's name for it is "LSU rRNA". The record is from RNAcentral. Lineage: Eukaryota; Fungi; Glomeromycota; Glomeromycetes; Glomerales; Glomeraceae.